This 239-nucleotide unclassified non-coding RNA is filed under the name Cladorrhinum foecundissimum. Its description in RNAcentral is "partial internal transcribed spacer region". The stretch from base 1 to 46 matches the Rfam family "Eukaryotic small subunit ribosomal RNA", at positions 1786 to 1831 of the family's 1831-position model. The record is from RNAcentral. Lineage: Eukaryota; Fungi; Ascomycota; Sordariomycetes; Sordariales; Podosporaceae.
AAGUCGUAACAAGGUCUCCGUUGGUGAACCAGCGGAGGGAUCAUUACAGAGUUGCAAAACUCCCCCAAACCAUCGCGAACCCAACCCCUAAACAGUUGCUUCGGCGGCGCCCCGAAGGCCCUCAGCGGCCGGAGUGGCCCGCCGGGGACCCCCCAAACUCUUGUUUUUAGCAAAAUGGCCUCUCUGAGUUACUGUACUUUAAUAAGUCAAAACUUUCAACAACGGAUCUCUUGGUUCUG